Long non-coding RNA from Corticium candelabrum, 684 nucleotides. RefSeq lists it as uncharacterized. The transcript has 4 exons. The record is from RefSeq and is a predicted model, not a curated record. Lineage: Eukaryota; Metazoa; Porifera; Homoscleromorpha; Homosclerophorida; Plakinidae.
UGGCACCAGAACUCGGCAGAUUAGUCAAGCAGCUACAAUGAGCGGUCAGGAGUGUAGAGGAUCAUUGACUGGGAUCUGCAUAUUCACAUCUUGGUACACGACUGUGCCUGCAGAAAAUGAGUCAUCAUCUGGAUGAGUAUCAAACUCAGUAAUAAUUGCUGUUACACUAAGUGUCAUCGUUCUCAUGCUAAUCAUCGUACUUUUCAUUUUUCUGAGGAAGAAUUACAGGUGCACAAGAAAUGAGUCAAAAUCUUUAGUGCCUAUGAAAUAUGAUAGUGUCAUUGCCAAUUCUAAAGCAACAUCUGGAACAAGUGAAUGUUUGGAUAAAAGCAACGAGAUGCAAUGACAAUUAAUAGCUCAUAUGCUACUACAGGUGCAGGCAGCAGUGCUGAAUCAUGUGGAUAUCUAGAGGUUAGAGCUGUUGCAGCUCAGCGAAACAGGAAGAAUGAGGAACUGUUGUAUGAUAGUAUGGAUUCUGAAUCGGCACUUUGAUCUCAAUGUAAUAAAGGAGAGAACUUUUCUGAUGAUUUGUGGCUAUUUAUAUGUUUAAAAUGCCUUUCUUAGUGCUUGCCAUGCAUGUGUGUUUAGCAUGGCGGAAUUAAACAUUUACAAUAUCUAAGCUGGGCAUUGUUGUCUAGUAAUAUUUGAUAUGUUUGCUGCUACUGAUUUUAUAGAACUCGUUCA